GAUUCAUGAUGAUACAGGACCUUGUCUGAACAUAAUGAUUUCAAAACUUGAGCUUAAAAAUGACACUCUGAAAUC
Small nucleolar RNA from Callithrix jacchus (white-tufted-ear marmoset), 75 nucleotides. Ensembl annotates it as small nucleolar RNA, C/D box 107. Its record names the gene SNORD107. The record is from Ensembl. NCBI's taxonomy places the organism in Eukaryota, Metazoa, Chordata, Mammalia, Primates, Cebidae.